UACGAAGGGGGCUAGCGUUGCUCGGAAUUACUGGGCGUAAAGCGCACGUAGGCGGCUUUCUAAGUCGGGGGUGAAAUCCUGGAGCUCAACUCCAGAACUGCCUUCGAUACUGGAGAGCUCGAGUCCGGGAGAGGUGAGUGGGAACUGCGAGUGUAGAGGUGAAAUUCGUAGAUAUUCGCAAGAACACCAGUGGCGAAGGCGGGCUCACUGGCCCGGUACUGGACGCUGAGGUGCGAAAGCGAUGGGGA
RNAcentral lists this ribosomal RNA (248 nucleotides) under uncultured bacterium. RNAcentral's name for it is "partial 16S ribosomal RNA". It matches the Rfam family "Bacterial small subunit ribosomal RNA", at positions 524 to 768 of the family's 1533-position model. The record is from RNAcentral.